Molecule: ribosomal RNA, 496 nt
Filed under: uncultured bacterium
Lineage: Bacteria
Description: partial 16S ribosomal RNA
Rfam family: Bacterial small subunit ribosomal RNA
Source: RNAcentral
GAUGAACGCUGGCGGCGUGCCUAAUACAUGCAAGUCGAGCGAACAGACGAGGAGCUUGCUCCUCUGACGUUAGCGGCGGACGGGUGAGUAACACGUGGAUAACCUACCUAUAAGACUGGGAUAACUUCGGGAAACCGGAGCUAAUACCGGAUAAUAUAUUGAACCGCAUGGUUCAAUAGUGAAAGACGGUUUUGCUGUCACUUAUAGAUGGAUCCGCGCCGCAUUAGCUAGUUGGUAAGGUAACGGCUUACCAAGGCAACGAGCGUAGCCGACCUGAGAGGGUGAUCGGCCACACUGGAACUGAGACACGGUCCAGACUCCUACGGGAGGCAGCAGUAGGGAAUCUUCCGCAAUGGGCGAAAGCUUGACGGAGCAACGCCGCGUGAGUGAUGAAGGUCUUCGGAUCGUAAAACUCUGUUAUUAGGGAAGAACAAAUGUGUAAGUAACUAUGCACGUCUUGACGGUACCUAAUCAGAAAGCCACGGCUAACUACGUG